Nycticebus coucang (slow loris) is the source of this 7642-nucleotide RNA transcript. It is a transcript of the gene named Rho guanine nucleotide exchange factor 19, with no coding region annotated. The record is from RefSeq and is a predicted model, not a curated record. NCBI's taxonomy places the organism in Eukaryota, Metazoa, Chordata, Mammalia, Primates, Lorisidae. The transcript has 15 exons.
UGGCCUCACACAGCUCACAGCAACCUCCAACUCCUGGGCUUAAGCGAUUCUCCUGCCUCAGCCUCCCGAGUAGCUGGGACUACAGGCGCCCGCCACAAUGCCCGGCUAUUUUUGGUUGCAGUUUGGCCGGGGCCGGGUUUGAACCCGCCACCCUUGGUAUAUGGGGCCGGCGCCUUACCGACUGAGCCACAGGUGCCGCCUGAAAAAGAAAAAAGUUUUAAAAAGAGGCCAGGUGUGGUGGCCCAUGCCUACGAUCCCAACAGUUUGGGAGACCAGGGCAGGAAAAACAAUUAAAGACAGGAGUUUAAGACCAUUCCAGGCAACAUAGUGAGACACCCCCCCCCCCCGCCAUCUCUGCAAACAAACAAGACAUAUCAGCAGCUAGGUGUGGUGGGACACACCUGUAGUCCCAGCUACUCAGGAGGCUGAGGCAGGAGGAUCCCUUGAGCCCAGAAAUUUGAAGUUACAGUGAACUUUGGUGAUGCUACUGCAUUCCAGCCUGGGUGAUAGAGCGAGACCCUAUCUCUAAAAAAAAAGAAAAGAAAGAAAGAAACAAUAGAAAACAAUAGUACAAACAAAAAUUUAAAAAGUACAAAUGAAAAACCAAUAGAAUAUAACUAUGUACACGGUAUUUACAUUGUGUAAGGCAUUGUAAUUAAUCUAAAGAUGAUUUAAAGCAUAUAGGAGGACGUAAGUAGGUGGUGUGCAAAUACGCCACCAUUUUAUAUCAGAGACUUGAGCAUCCAAGGAUUUUGGUACAGAGGCUGUCCUGGGGCGGAUCUUGCAUGGAUACCAAGAGAGGACUGUACUUACCUGCUAAGUGGGAACCGUAACAGUGUCUACCCCACAGGGUCAUGGUGGAGAUUAAAUGAAUAAAUACAUGUGUAGUGCUCAGAACAAUGCCUGGCAGGUAGUAAGUGUAUAAGAAGAGUUAUUAGCUCUACAAGUACUGAUAUUUGUAUACAUAUUUAUAUUAAGUGUCUGGAAUUGCCAGCUGUUCAAAUAAAUGACAGGUAGUAUUAGGGGAAAAGCAGCUUCCCCUUUCUUGGGCUUGGGAAGAUUGCCUGAGGCACAGACAGAGCAGCUAUUUGCAUUGGUUUAUUGAGGGCUCAGUCAGUGUGGACUAGACUCUGGGAAGGCUUUACGGUAGAGGAGGCUGCUGGAGAUGGUAGGGUCACUCCAGGCAGCAGGAAAGCAUGGGUCAUUUGUGAGGAGUGGCUGUGCUGGAACGGCCGUCCAGGAUGAUGCCCUAUGUCAUAUCGCCAACUUUCAGAUUUGAUUUCCAUUUCCCAACCAUAGAGAUGAGUGUUCCCAUUUUACAGAUGCAGUAAAAGGCUCAGAGUCAUUAGAGUUCUCAGGGUCCCUAAGGUGUCCAGGAUGUGGGAGGUUCUCCGUGAAGCUCCCAGGAUGCUCUCCAGUCCCAAGAAGUCCCCUGAGCAUGCUUCACAUUUGGGAAGCUCCAGAAAGGGGUGACUUGUCUCCUAGGAGCAGGAGCAGUCUUCCUCCCCAUCUUUAGGAUAGAGCUCCAGGGUCUUUCAGAGCCUCACCAGGGCAUAGGACUCCCAUUGUUCCAGCCCCCCUCUUGUACCCCAGACUGGCCAAACCGGUUCUGGGGAAGGGGGGCGGGGAGCAGGCACGUUGAGACAGCCGCCUGCCUCUCUGCGAGGUUCCCUCCACCUUCACCAACCCCCUCCCUGCCCCACACAAUACCAGGAGCUUGCAUGGCCCUGCUCAGGGCCGUGCUGACAUCGCCCCCUGAGGACUUGGCUGCAACCCCAGAGCCCCCAGGGUGUCCUGAAGCCCUGGACCGUGCUGGUAGCUGGACGGAGCUCCCUGGCUGAGGUAGGGCCCCAACCGGGUGCCAGCAGCCCCAUUUUCCUACUGCCAAUUUUCUCAAAGUCCUUUGUGCUGCUUGCCUGGCCUCUGAUCCUGGCCCUGAUCCCCUGUGGCUUCCUGGUGCUCUGUAGACUGCUUGAUCUGGAUCUCCUCUCUAGCCAUGACGUCCCACUUGGCUUUGUCUGUUAGGGGGCAGAGGGACCCUGGCAGGGUCUCUGCUCCUCUAGGCAGCAGGGCAAGGGGCACCAGGGAAGGGUGCAGGGAAAAGCUGAGUAUGGAAGGCCAGCAGCACUUCUCUGGACCCAGUGUUCAGGGACCCUCUCUAGCAUACUGGCCAAGUGGGCCCACUGUCCUCUAUAAUUAGCAGUGCCAACUGGGUGGUCCUCUCCUCAGCCCCUGCCCCCAUUCUGGGCUUAUAGGGACACUUAGGAUGACAGGUUUCUUAGACAGGGCAUGGGGGGGUGGUCCCUUAGGAGCCACUUUACAGAUAGGGAUAUGAAACUAAGGGGUGGGCUAGGACUUGCCUGAGGCCAUGCAGCUGGUCAUUGUCAAUACCAGGCCUUGAACUUGGGGCAGGUUCCAUUUAGUUUCUAGAAUGACCUCGUGGGCACUAGAGUAUGUCCUGUGAUUAUGUCCCUGUACAUGGAGCCCGUUCUCUUCCUCAGGUUUGUUUUGUUUUGUUUUCUAACAGAGAUGAGCUACACACAAUAUGAACACAGCUUUGCCCCACCUAAAUUCCCAACACUGAGGCAAGGUGGGCCACGUCCCUGGCAGGCAUCCCAGCGAGAUGGGUCAUUCUCAUUGCUCCUUGGCCUGGGCAUAGGUGGAGGUCAAUAUACUCCUGACCUCCCCCACUAGAGACCUGCCUCCAGCUUUGUCUCCUCAGAGAGGCUUCCUCCUACCCUCUCCCCACACUCACCUAGCCCUCUCCUCUGAGACCUUAAUGGAGGUGCACCUGCCCCAAGGGCUCACUGUUUUGCUUAUUUACCCUUGCCAAUGAUGGGGAUCCCUCUGUGCCCUCCAGGGACUUCCAGAUCCCACAUAGAAUCUGCAAGAAUACAGGGAGCAGGGGUACGUGUACAUGCUUGCACACGUGCACCCACAGAAGUAAGUGGGACUUUUGAUUCCUGGAGAGAGAAAGACCUAUCUGAUGGGUAGUGGCCUCCUGUGCCUCCUUCCACCUGUUCCUAUGGUGCAGUGUGUGUUUCUCCCUCACUGCUUCAUCUUCCCCACCUGUGUGAAGACCCAAGCCACUGCCCCACCCCACUAGAGGAAGACUGAGGAUAUUAAGAAUAUUCUGAAGGGUGACUAUCAAUGACAAACUCCCAGCAUGCACCAGAUGUUUAUAUGCAUUAAUGGCAACUCUCACAUUCGUGUUGGGAAGCUGGCUGACCAUCCUUUUUCCAGAUGAGAAAACUAAGGCUAGGAAAGCUUGCUCAGAUGGGUACUCUUCAGGCUUGAGGGGCAGAGGCUAAAGGUACAAGGUUACCUAGAGCUCCCACUGUAAGGAGGGCCCCUUAGGAGCAGUCAGCCCCUUCUUUGGACUUCCCAGCAGUUGAGGGGCCGUGUAGAGAGAGUACAGCCCCCAGCAGCUGUCCCUCACUGGGUCUUCUCUUUCCUCUCUCUCUCCAUGGGUCUCUGACUUGUUCAGGCCAAGGCUCUCUCCCUCCAUGAGCACUGAGUCCCUGGGCAUUUCAGCCAGGCAGCAGUUAGCUAUUACCUCCUCCUGGAAGCCUUCCUGGAAUCCUCAGGUUGAGUUGAGCCCAGUGUCCUACUCUGAUGGCUCCUCUGGCUUGGCUCUUGCCAGCCUGAAUUUAUAAAUUUUUGUUUUCUUGAAAUGUUUGUCCAUCUGUCUCCCUGGGUUUUUCUGGGCUUCAUGUCUGUGUCUGAAUAUCUGGUCUGGAUGAAAUAUUCAGUGUCUCUCGUCUCCAUCUCCAUCUCUGGGUCCCUGAAUGUCUUAGCAUCUGUGGUCUUUCUGUUUUGGAGUGCUUUGGGGUCUCGGUUUCUGAGUUGGUGUCUAAAUGAUCUCUAUUUUCUCUAGGUCUGUCUCAAUCUCUGUCUCCUAGGUCUCCUGGCCCUGCCAGGCUGGGAACUGCCCCUGUGGCCUGAGAGAGCCUCUGGGGGGGGGGGUCCUUGCUGCCCGGCCUGCCCACAGCGAGGCCAGGCUAGGGUAGGCCCCCGCCCAGCCCGCUGCCUGCUCCCUCCUUCCCUCCCUCCCUGCUGCUUGCCUCACCACAGGGUUUGAUGAAUCAAACUCUUUGUCUGGGUGGGAUCUCCCCCAGCCAGCUGGGCAGAGAGAGGGCUUCCCCUGCCGGAGCAGCCGAUCAGCAGCGGGCCUUGGCUGGAGAGGUGAGGGGCUACUGGAGGGCACCCAGAGGAAGGCCACACAGCAAAGGCUGUGGGCUUGGACCACUCUGGGAUUAUCAGUCCCUUCCUGAUUCUUGAUCCCCCUGGGAGCAUGACCCUUUCAGCCUGGUCCACACAGGGGCUGGGAGCUGGGAUAGGGAAAAUCCCCUCUUUUCCUCCAAGCUGGGGGGCUGGGUGACAUCCCUGCCUUUCUCUGGGAGGGCCCAGCCUGAUCUGGGUGGUGGCUUGCCUGCCAGUUUGUGACCUUCCCAGCCAGCUUGGCAUGGGUGUGGGCACCACUCAGCGCUGAAGGCCUCAAUUCUGGGCAUGGUAGGGGGGGCAUCACCCAAGCUAGGACUUGUGGGCCUGUGUGUUUGUGUGUUCUGGUGUGUGUAUGUAAAUAGAACGGAGUGUGAGAAAGCUUGGGGUAUAUGUGUACAAAUAUCAAAUGAGUCGGUGUGUGUUUGUGAGAAAGUGUAUUUAGUUGUAUAAAAAUGAGUGUCUGUGAAUGUGUGAGCCUGAGGUUGAGAUGUCUGAGUGUAUCUGUGAAAAUGUGCAUGUCCAUAUGUGUACUUGGGAGAAAAUGUGUGCUUAUAUAUUUUGGAACAUGAAUUUAUGUGACAGUGUAUGUAUCUGCAUGUGUGAUUGCAUGUCUGUGUGUUAGAGAAUGCACAAGGUUGUUAAAACCAUAGACUCAAAAGCUGAAAUGGCUGCAUGUGAAUCCUGGCUUUGCUGUUUCCCAAAUAACAAGCGCUCUGUGCCCCACUUUCCUCACCUGUAAAAUAGGGGUGAUAACAGCAUCAACUCAUAGGGUUUUCAUGAUGAUGAAAUGAGAUAAUACGUGUAAAGUACUUGGCAUGUCAUUCAAGAAGUGCCAGGUAAGCAUGAGCUAUUAUUAUAUAACUAAGUGUGUGAGUGUGCUUGUACAAAUGUAUGUACACACUUGUAAACAAGCGUUCAUCCAGGCCUCCAGGAUGUAGUGGCUUACUGGCCAGCCCUGCUGUCCUAUAUCUAGGGUCUGAUCCCUUUUCUCCUACAGGCCCAGGUGGGUGGCUAAGCAAAGGAGGAAUGGACUGUGGGCCACCUGCUACCCUCCAGCCCCACCUGGCUGGGCCACCUGGCACUGCCUGCCACCCAGUAGCUGUGUGCCAGCAAGAGAGUCUGUCCUUUGUGGAGCUGCCCACCCUGCAGCCUCCAAACCCUGUGUGUCUGGACCUUUUCCCUGUUGCCCCAGAGGAGCUGUGGGCUCCUGGCAGCCGCUGGUCCCUGGGGACCCCUGCCCCCCUCCAAGGGCUGUUAUGGCCAGCAUCCUUAGGAGGUGCAGAGGCAGAGAUCUCCACCAGUGGAGGAAUACGGCCCAGCAGGGCUGGCAGCUGGCCACACUGUCCUGCUGCCCCGCCCCCAGCUCUGGAGGGCCCCUGGAGUCCCCAGCAUCCACAGCCACAGCGCCGGGCCAGCCAUGGCUCUGAGAAGAAGUCAGCCUGGCGCAAGAUGCGGGUGUACCAGCGUGAGGAGGUCGAGGGCAGCCUAGAGGCUCAGGAUGUCUUCCUGGAGCCCAGCCAGACCUUGCAGGAGCAGGCCCCAAGCACAGAUGAGCCUAGACCCCGGGAGCUGUCUGCAUGCACACGACCGAGCCUCGAAGGGCCUGAGCGAAGGCGCUUCUCAGCGUCUGAGCUGAUGACCCGUCUGCACUCUUCGCUGCGCCUGGGGCGGAAUUCAGCAUCCAGGGCACCCACUCCUGCGUCUGGCACUGAAGCAGCCCGGGAAGGAAAAGCAUCUGGAAGGGAGUCGCGAGGUGUAGAGAUGCGGUUGGACCGUGUGUCGCUGCCUGACCCUGUCGACUCAAGCGAGCGCUCCAGGCUAGACACGCAAGAAGAGCCUUCUUUGGGUACCAGGAGCGCCAGCGAACGGCGCCAGUCACGAUUCCUCCUUAACUCCGUACUCUACCAGGAAUACAGCGACGUGGCCAGCGCCCGCGAACUGCGGCGGCAGCAGCGCGAGGAGGAGGGCCCGGGGGACGAGGCCGAGGGCGCGGAGGAGGGGCCCGGGCCGCCUCGCGCCAACCUCUCCCCAAGCAGCUCCUUCCGCGCGCAGCGGUCGGCGCGCGGCUCCACCUUCUCCCUGUGGCAGGACAUCCCCGACGUGCGCGGCAGCGGCGUGCUGGCCACGCUGAGCCUGCGUGACUGCAAACUGCAGGAGGCCAAGUUUGAGCUGAUCACAUCCGAGGCCUCCUACAUCCACAGCCUGUCAGUGGCCGUGGGACACUUCCUAGGCUCUACUGAGCUAAGUGAGUGUCUAGGGGCCCAGGACAAGCAGUGGCUGUUUUCCAAACUGCCUGAGGUCAAGAGCACCAGCGAGAGGUUCCUGCAGGACCUGGAGCAGCGGCUGGAGGCAGAUGUACUGUGCUUCAGUGUGUGCGAUGUGGUCUUGGACCACUGCCCAGCCUUCCGCCGAGUCUACCUGCCCUAUGUCACCAACCAGGCCUACCAGGAGCGCACCUACCAACGCCUGCUCCUAGAGAACUCCAGGUUCCCCAGCAUCCUGGCUCGCCUGGAGGAGUCUCCUGUGUGCCAACGCCUACCCCUCACUUCCUUCCUCAUCCUGCCCUUUCAGAGGAUCACCCGGCUCAAGAUGCUGGUGGAGAACAUUCUGAAGAGGACAGCACAGGGCUCUGAAGAUGAAGACAUGGCCACCAAGGCCUUCAAUGCUCUUAAGGAGCUGGUGCAAGAGUGCAACGCCAGUGUACAGUCCAUGAAGAGGACAGAGGAGCUCAUCCACCUGAGCAAGAAGAUCCACUUUGAGGGCAAGAUCUUCCCGCUCAUCUCUCAGGCCCGCUGGCUGGUUCGGCAUGGGGAGCUGGUGGAGCUAGCACCACUACCCGCAGCACCCCCUGCCAAGUUGAAGCUGUCCAGCAAGGCAGUCUACCUGCACCUCUUCAAUGAUUGCUUGCUGCUCUCUCGGCGGAAGGAGCUAGGGAAGUUUGCUGUUUUUGUCCACGCCAAGAUGGCUGAGCUGCAGGUGAGGGACCUGAGCCUCAAGCUGCAGGGCAUCCCUGGCCACGUGUUCCUCCUCCAGCUUCUCCAUGGGCAACGUACAAAGCACCAGUUCCUACUGAGGGCCCGGACUGAAAGUGAGAAGCAGCGAUGGAUCUCAGCCCUGUGCCCCUCGAGCCCCCAGGAGGAUGAAGAGGUCAUCAGUGAGGGGGAAGCGUGGGAGGGGCAGAGGAGAAGAAGCUACAGUGCUGCCCACUACUGCUCCUCCCUGCCCCAUCCUGCCCCUGCGACUACCUGACCCUGCCCUUGGACUGUCAGACCACCCCCAGGUUCAGUGUGUUAGGACAUACAAGGCACUGCAGCCAGAUGAGCUGACCUUGGAAAAGACUGACAUCCUGGCCGUGAGGACCCGGACUAGUGAUGGCUGGCUGGAAGGGGUGCGCCUGGCAGAUGGCGAGAAAGGGUGG